UACGAAGGGGGCUAGCGUUGCUCGGAAUCACUGGGCGUAAAGCGCACGUAGGCGGAUUUCUAAGUCGGGGGUGAAAUCCUGGAGCUCAACUCCAGAACUGCCUUCGAUACUGGAAGUCUUGAGUCCGGGAGAGGUGAGUGGAACUGCGAGUGUAGAGGUGAAAUUCGUAGAUAUUCGCAAGAACACCAGUGGCGAAGGCGGCUCACUGGCCCGGUACUGACGCUGAGGUGCGAAAGCGUGGGGAGCGAACAGG
This 253-nucleotide ribosomal RNA is filed under the name uncultured bacterium. Its description in RNAcentral is "partial 16S ribosomal RNA". It matches the Rfam family "Bacterial small subunit ribosomal RNA", at positions 524 to 776 of the family's 1533-position model. The record is from RNAcentral.